AAAGCCUAAAUACCAGGAGAACAAAUUCUACAUCUGUGCACAAGAAGUUUUUGGUGACACACGUGUCUACUGUAAAGCAUUGCUAGAACUAAUUCCCUACCCUUGUAUUUUUAAUAUGGAAACCAAAGUUAAGAUUUUUACGAUAAUCUGUCAGCUGAGUAUUUCUAAUGAGAAUAUCACUGAUUACGGUAUAAUAUUGGGCAAUAUUAACAGCACUAAUGCAUCUGCUGGGAUUAUCAAUGUACCUGCUGGUUUAGAAAUGGAUGCAUGUACUGAAAACAUUGUUGCUUCUGCUGGAGAUACUGUUACAUCCACUGGGAUCGUUGAGGCUUCUGCUGGAGAUACUGAUACAUCUACUGGGAUCGUUGAGGCUUCUGCUGGAGAUACUGAUUCAUCUACUGGGAUCAUUGAGGCUUCUGCUGGAGAUACUGAUACAUCUACUGGGAUCAUUGAAGCAUCAGCUGAAGAUACCGAUACAUCUACUGGGAUCAUUAAGGCUUCUGCUGGAGAUACUGAU
This is a long non-coding RNA of Amblyraja radiata (thorny skate), 517 nucleotides long. RefSeq lists it as uncharacterized. The record is from RefSeq and is a predicted model, not a curated record. The transcript has 3 exons. NCBI's taxonomy places the organism in Eukaryota, Metazoa, Chordata, Chondrichthyes, Rajiformes, Rajidae.